GUGUAUGGUUUUCCCAGCCAAGCGGCUGUGCUUGGUGCCAUCCAUGGAGGGCGUCCGCUGGGCCUUUUCCUGUGGCACCUGGCUGCCGAGUCGAGCCGAAUGGCUGCUGGCGGUGCGGUCGAUCCAGCCUGAGGAGAAGGAGCGCAUUGGCCAGUUCGUCUUUGCCCGGGACGCUAAGGCAGCCAUGGCUGGUCGUCUGAUGAUAAGGAAAUUAGUUGCAGAGAAAUUGAAUAUCCCUUGGAAUAAUAUUCGUUUGCAAAGAACUGCAAAAGGAAAACCAGUUCUUGCAAAGGACUCAUUGAAUCCUUACCCCAAUUUCAACUUUAACAUCUCUCAUCAAGGGGACUUUGCGGUGCUUGCUGCUGAACCUGAACUACAAGUUGGAGUCGAUAUAAUGAAGACUAGUUUUCCAGGUCGCGGUUCAAUUCCAGAAUUCUUUCAUAUUAUGAAAAGGAAGUUUACCAACAAGGAAUGGGAAACCAUCAGAAGCUUUAAGGAUGAAUGGACUCAGCUGGAUAUGUUUUAUAGGAAUUGGGCAUUGAAAGAAAGCUACAUAAAAGCCAUUGGUGUUGGACUAGGAUUUGAAUUACAGCGGCUUGAAUUUGAAAUAUCUCCUUUAAACUUGGAUAUAGGCCAAGUUUAUAAAGAAACACGUUUGUUCCUGGAUGGUGAAGAAGAAAAAGAGUGGGCAUUUGAGGAAAGCAAAAUAGAUGAACAUCAUUUUGUUGCAGUAGCUCUUAGGAAACCCGAUGGAUCUAGACAUCAAGAUGUUCCAUCUCUAGAUGAUUCUAAACCAAGCCAGAGGCAGUUUACUAUUCUCACCUUUAAUGAUUUAAUAUCAUCUGCUGUUCCUAUGACACCUGAAGAUCCUUCAUUUUGGGACUGUUUUUGUUUCACAGAAGAAAUUCCAAUACGAAAUGGAUCUGCUAAAAUUUUAUCUGCUAUGUAGCAGUUUUCCUGGAUUAUGCCGUGUUGCUCUGGCCGAUUUGUUCACUCAGACACUAUGAGUAUUCCACAUUCCUUUGAGAGUGACUCCAUGACCUGCAGAAGCACUAAAGACUAGAAAGAAGCAAAGUGAUACAGAAGUAAGUAGAAUAAACUCUGGAGGUUGCACAGUUAUCUCGGGUGGACUUGUGAAGUGUAAAGGAACAUGGAGACAAUGCAGCACACAUUGAUGUUCAACUACCUAGAGUGAACUUGGAAUUUACAGAAAAACAAAGAUGUAAGCGAUAUAAUUCUGGGGUCUUAAGAUGCAGGAUGGCCUUAAAACAAGCAAAGAAAAGUAGUCAUAAGCAAGGUAAACAUUGGAGUCUGAUCACCUAAAAUGAAAUUGAGAUAGAAAAAGAACAAAGGAAUAAGUGGGACAAUUCUGAAGGUUGAAGUUCUAAAGUAUUCAAAACAAGCAAAGAAACAAGUGUGAUAAGCAAUGGAGUAUGAUAAGCUACAUGAACAAGAAGCUUACAAAAGAACAUAGAAUUAAGUCAAAAUAUUCUGGAGUUCAAAAAUCAUGACUGAACUUAAGCAAAGGAACAUAGUGGUAAGUGUAAUUGACUCUGGAGUCUUACAGUCUAUUAUCAGUUUGGGAGAAGGAAAGCAAUGUAGAGGUAAAUGGGAUCAAGUAUGGAACUGAUGAUCUUUCACAGUCUAGGGGGAAGAAAAGGGAUAUAGAGUUUAAGUAAAAUAAACUCUGGACUCCAGUUGUCUGGCAUGGGUAUUUGAGAAACAAACACAAAGGUAAGUGGAAUAAACUCUGGAGUCCACUUACCUGAAAUGAACUGGAUUUACAAAGUACAUAGAGAUAAGUAUGAUAAUUCUGGAGUCUGAGCUUCUACUAUGGAUUUAAAAUAAGUAGAGGAAUGUGUUGGAAAGUGAGUUCGACCCUGAAUCUGAUAGUCUAUAAUCAAAUUGAGAGAAGCAAAGCACCAAAGAAGCUUGUGUGAUAAAUUCUGGAGGCUGUACUUAUCUUGAGAAGCCGUGGAAUUUAGAGGUAAGUUUAAAAUGCUGUGGAGUCAAAAUAUGUAGGUUGGGCCUGUGAGUAGCAAAGGACAAACUAGAAUCUGAUGAACUAGAAUGGACUUGAGAUUUACAAAAGAACAUAUAUGUAUAUAUGAUUAUUCUGAAAUAUAAAGUUCUAGAAUGGAUUUAGGCACAUGGACAUAGAGUAUGUGCAAUUGACUUGGGAGUCCAAUAAUCUAUCAUUGAAUUGGGGGAAACAAAGCAAUGUAGAGGUAUGUGUGAUAAAAUCCCCAUGUCAAUGAUCCUCCUUAGGCUAGGAAGAAGGGGAUGUAGAGAUAAGGGGAACAAACUCUGGAGUUGAAGUAUGUUAGCAUAAACUUGCAAGAAGGAAAGGAACAUAGAGAUGAUGGAAUACACACUGAAGUUCAAUAACCUAGAGUCAACGUGGGAUUUAAAGAAGGAUAGAAAUGUAGUGAGAUAAUUCUGGAGACUGAAGAUCCUUCAUGUGCUAAAUCAACUGCUCGUAUCCUUAUUAAAUAAAUUAAUAAUAAAUCUUCAUUAGGUCCAUUUUCUUAAUAGUAUGGUUCAACUGUAAUUUAUCUUUGUAGAUUUUCUGUCUGGAUGACCUGUCCAUUGAUAACAAUGGAGUGUUGAAGUCCCUGACUAUAAUUGUACUAGAGUCUCUCUCUCUUUUUAAAUGUAAUAAUAUUUGCUGAAUAUAUCUUGGUGGUCUUGUAUUGGGUGCAAAUAUAUUUGGGAUUGUAUGUCUUCUUGCUGAAUUGAUCCUUUUAUCAAAAUAUAAUGUCCUUUGUCUUUUUUUUUUUACAAUUUUUGAUUUAAAAUCUUUUAUAUGAGUAUAGCUAUUCUUAUUUAUUUUUGGUUUCCAUUUUCCUGGUAUAUAUUUUCAGCCCUUCAACUUUAGUGUAUGUGUAUCUUUAUUUGUGCAGUGAAUUUCUUGUAAGCAGUGUAUAGUUGGGUAUUUUUUUUAAAUCAAUGAUUCUUUCAAUGUAAGCUUUUGACUGGUGAAUUUAAUCCAUUUACAUUUUAUUAAGGCAACAUAGAAGUAAAUGGGAUCAGCUAUGGAUUCUGAUGAUACAGUAUGGACUAGGGAGAAGCAAAUGGAUAUAUAGAUAAAGGAAAUGCACUUCAACCUCUGAUUAUCUAUUAUGGAUAUUUGAGAAACAAAGAAACACGGAGGUAACUGGAGUAAACUCCAAAAUUGGAAUCUGAUUAUCUGAAACUAUCUUGAGAUUUACAAAAAACAUAAGGAUAAAUGGGAUAAUUCUGGAUUCUGAUGUUCUAUGGAGUUAAAGCAACCAAAGGAACAUAGUGGGUUCAUCCCUUGAGUCUGGUAACCCCUCAUCAAAUUGGGAAAAUCAAAGCUCCAUAGAAUGAUUUGUGAAAAACUGAAUACUGAAUAUUUAUCUUGGACUAAGGAAAGCAAAUAAAUGUAGAGGUAAGUUUAACAUAAACUCAAGUCAAAAUAUAUAGCAUGGUAUUAUGAGAAGUGAAGGAACACAGAGAUGAGUGGGACAAAUGCGAGAGUCCAGAGAGCAUGGGAUUUACAAAAUAAUAUAUAUGUAAUUGUGAAAAUUCUGGACUUUGAAGUUCUAUCUGGACUGAAAAAAGCACAAUAAUAUGGAGGUAAGUGGAAUUGACUCUGACAUCCAAUAAUCUAUCAUCAAAUAGAGAAAAGCAAAGCAGCAUUAAUUAAGUGUUAGAAACUCUGGAUUCCAAUUAUGUAUCUUGGACUGUCAAGAAGCAAGGUGCUACAGAGGUAAGUGGAAUUAACUACGGAGUGCAAUGAUCUAGCAUUAACUUGUGAGAAGCAACGUAACAUAGAGACAAUGCAAUACACACAUAUUUGAUUACUUAGAAUGAAUUUGGGAUUUACAGAAAAAUAAAAAUGUAAGUCACUCAAUUCUGAAGUCCAAAGAUCAAACAUGGCAUUAAAUCAAUGAAAGAAAAAGCAUUCAUGAGUGGGAUAAGCACUGGAAUCCAGUCACCUUGAAUGAAAUUUGAAUUUACAAAAGAAUAUAGAAAUACGCACAAUCAUUCUGGAAUCCAAAGAUCUACAUAGGUCUUAAAACAAGAAUACAGUGUUAAGUGAGAUUGAUUCUGGAAACCUAUAAUCUAUCAUUAAUGUGAGAGAAGCAAAGCAACAUAGAGGUAAAUGGGAUUAACUGUGGAUUCCAAUGAUGUAGCAUAGAACAGGGGCAAGCAAAAUAAUAUAGAAGUAAGUAGAAUAAAUUGGACUUUGAUCACCCAUCAUGGACUUUUGAGAAACAAAGCAAUAAAUCCCACCAUAUAAGUAGGAUGAACUCUGGAGUCCUAUUACCUAAAAGAAACAUGAGAUUUACAAGAGAAUAUAAGGGUAAGUAGACAAUUCUGAAUUACACAUUUUACUAAAGAAUUGAAACAAGAAAAAGAACAUAGAGGAAAUUUGGAUUGACCCCAAUAGUAAUCUAUAAGCAUACUUGAAGAGACAAAACAAUAUAGAAAGAUUCAUGAUAAACUCUGGAUGCCAGUGAUCUUUUUUGGACUGUGGAGAAGCAAGGGUAUUUGGAGGUAAUUUUAAUAAACCCUGAAUCAAAAUAUUUAACAUGGACUUGUGAGAAGGAAAGGAACAGAGAUAGUGGGACAAACUCUGGAAUCCAAUUUUCUAGAAUGAACUUGGAAUUUACAAAAAGCAUAUACACAUGUGAGAAUUCUGGAGUAUGAAAUUAUAGCUUGGACUUAAAACAAGCACAGGGACAUAGAGAUAAUUGGAUUUGACUCCAGAGUCCAAUAAUCUAUCACUGAAUUGGGGAAACAAAGCAACAUGGAGGUAUGUGUGGUAAAAUCGGGAUGCUGAUGAUCUUUCUUGGACUAGGGAGAAGCAAGAGGUUAUAUUGGUAACUGCAAUAAAUUAUGGAGUAUUACUAUCUAGAAUAAACUUGUGAAAAAUAAAGGAACAUAGAGACAUUGGAAAACACAGUAUAGUUUGAUUACCUAGAAUGAAGAUGGGGUUUACAGAAGAACCAGAAUAUAAGUGGGACAAAUCUGGAGUUUAAUGAUCAAGCCUAGCCAUCAAUCAAUCAUAGUAAAAAAUAAUCAUUAGUGAGUUAAACAAGGGAAUAUGAUCACCUAGGAUUAAUAAAAUAACAUAAAAUAAGUUAGAAUAAUUCUGGAGGCUGAGAUAGAUCUACCUAUUAAGUGAUAUCCUGCAUUCCAGCUAAACCAUAAACUUUUUUCCAAUAAAAUCUAUUCCAUAAAAAAGAAGGGACCAUUACAUUGGUGUUCAGACACAGGAGACAUGAAGAAGCAAGGUAACUUGAUUCCUGCAAAAGAACACAAUCCUCCAGAAUUAGAUCCUGAACUGAAGUAAAUCUAUGAAGUGACAGAAUUUGAAAUAAUGAGUGUAAGGAAACUCAAUUAUCAAACAAAAAAAUGAAUAUUCCUUGCUCAUGGAUUUAAAGAAUCAAUAUCAUUAAAACGUCUGUAGAACAUAAAGCAAUAUACAGGUUCAAAGCAAUCCCUAUCAAAAUACCAAUGAUAUUCUUUAUAGAAUUAGAAAAAAAAUGUUAAAAUUCAUACUGAAUCAGAAAAGAUCCAGAAUAGCCAAGGUAAUCCUGAACAAGAAAAACCUGAGGCAUCACAAUACCUGACUUCAAAGCAUAAUUGAAAGCUAUUGUAAGGGUUGGAGUGUGGAUGGGAGAGAGGGUAGUAUGGGAUGUAUCACUAUGUUCCUAAAUCUGUAUAUAUGAAAUACUCAAGCCUUCUGUAGCUUAAAUAAAAUAAAAUAAAAAAAUAAAAAACAGUGUGAUGCUGACAAAAAACUGAGACAUAAAUCAAUGGAACAGAAUAGACAGCCCAGAAAUUAAUCAAUAUACAUUCAGCCCAAUGAUUUUUGACAAAAGUGCAAAGACAAUACAGCAGAGUAAGGACAAUCUCUUAAAUAAAUGGUGCUGGAAAAACUGGAUAUAUAUAUAUAUAUAUACACACACACACACAUACAUAUACAUAUACAUAUACAUAUAUAUGGAGAAGAAUGAAAUUGGAUCCAUACUUUUUUAAAGUUUUUAUUUAAUGAAUGCAUUUUUUUCAUAGAUACAACUUUAGGGAUAUAGUGGUUCUUUCCCCCAUACCCACCCUCCCCCACCAACUCCCAUCUCACCUCCCUCUCCCUCUCCUAUCUCCUUCUUCAUUAUGGUUCAUUUUUAAUUUGAUUUUAUAUACAGAGGACCAACUCCAUGUUGAGCAUAGAUUUCAACAGUUUGCACUCAACGCACACACAAAACAUAUAGAGUACAGUUUGGGAACAAAAUUUGCAGUUGAUUCUCAUAGUACAACUCAUUAGGGACGGAGGUCCUACAUGGGGACUAAGUGCACAGUGACUUCUGCUGUUCCUUUAACAAUUAACAGUCUUAUUUAUGAUGUCAGUGAUCACCCAAGGCUCUUGCCCUGGGCUGCCAAGUCUAUGGAAGCCUUUUGUGACCAUAGACUCCAUUGGCAUUUGGACCCAGCCAUAAAAGUGGAUGUUUGCUCCUCCUUUCAGAGAAGAGUAUAUCCUUCUUUGAUGACACUUUCUUUCCACUGAAGUCUCACAGAGAUUCUCUGUGUAGGAUACUUUUUUUGCAUAGACUCUUGAGUUUCCUUGCCUGAAAUGCUCUCACAGUCAUUUCAGCUAGACCAGGAAGCCUUAAGGGUUGAUUCUGAGGUCAGAGUAUUAUUUAUAGCAAAUGUCAUUUUAGGAGUCUGCUGUGUGGACUGCUUCCCAUAUGGGAGUUUCCUUCUUUUUUUUUUUUAAAUAUUUAUUUAUUUAUUUGAAAGUCAGAGUUACACAGAGAGAAGGAGAAGCAGAGAGAGAGAGAGAGAGAGAGAGGUCUUCCAUCUGUUGCUUCACUCCCCAUUUGGCCACAGCAGCUGGAGAUGUGCCAAUCUGAAGCCAGUAGCCAGGAACCUCUUCUGGGUCUCCCAUGCGGGUGCAGGGGCCCAAAGACUGGGCCAUCUUCUACAGCUUUUCCAGGCCAUAGCAGAGCGCUGGAUCAGAAGUGGAGCAGCUGGGACUUGAACCAGUGCCCAUAUGGGAUGCUGGCACUGCAGGCAGCAGCUUUACCCACUACACCACAGCAGUGGUCCUUUUCCUUCCUUUUUAAUUCUAUUAUUCUACCAGACACUUGAUGUUAUUUAUAUGAUCACUUUUAUACUUGAAGCUAUCUAUAUGUUGUCUUGAACUUUUAAUAUGAUUAUUUUAACAGUUAAGAUGGCAUUUAUACCACUGAAUUUUAUGGGUUUGGAGUCCCAGGACAGGAUUUUAGGCUGUAUUCUUAGAAGUAAGUCUAUAGGAAUGUAUGCAGAACUAUACUGCUUUACAGUUAUAGACUACCUCCUCCCUCUCUUAUUCCCCCUCUUAUUUUUGACUGGAAUCUUUUCCCAAUUGACUUCAAAUACAUAAAAUACAUAUGAUUAACUAUGUUACAUAAAGAGUUCAGUGUAUAGUAUGAAGAAGAGAAAAGAAAAAGAAAACAGAAAAGAACAAAACAAAAUAAAACAAAAAGAUAUACAAAAUAAAACAUAGCAAUGAUAAACUGUUCCUCAAUAGUCAGGUCAAGGACUAUUCAAGUCAUUGAUUCUAAAAGUGUCUAUUGCACUUGUAUAACUUUCUUUUCUUUCUUUCUUUUUUUUUUUUUUUUUUUUUUGACAGGCAGAGUGGACAGUGAGAGAGAGAGCGAGACAGAGAGGAAGGUCUUCCUUUUCCGUUGGUUCACCCACAAUGGCUGCUGUGGCCAGUGCGCUGCGGCUGGCACACCAUGCUGAUCUGAAGGCAGGAGCCAGGUGCUUCUCCUGGUCUCCCAUGUGGGUGUAGAGCCCAAGGUCUUGGGCCAUCCUCCACUGCACUUCUGGGCCAGAGCAGAGAGCUGGACAGGAACAGGAGCCACUAGGACAGAAUCCAGUGCCCCAACUAGGACUAGAACCCGGUGUGCUGGUGCCGCAGGCAUAGGAUUAGCCUGUUGAGCUGUGGCGCCGGCCUACACUUCUAUAAUUUUCAUUUUAGGAGUGCUAUUAAUUCUCCCAAAUCCGGGAGAACAUAUGGUAUUUGUCUCUUUGGGACUGGGUUAUUUCACUAAGUAUCGGGUUUUCCAGUUUGCUCCAUUUUGUUGCAAAUGACUGGAUUUCAUUUUUUUUUAUUGCCGUGUAGGAUUCCAUAGUGUACACAUUCCACAAUUUCUUAAUCCAUUCUUUGGUUGAUGGGCAUUUAGGUUGCUUCCAUAUCUUAGCUAUUGUGAAUUGAGCUGCAAUAAACAUAGAGGUGCAGAUAGCUCUUUUGUUUACUGAUUUCAUUUCCCUUGGGUAAAUUCCCAGGAGUAGGAUGGCUGGGUCAUAUGGUAGGUCUAUAUUCAGAUUUUUUAAGGUAUCUCCAUACUGUUUUUCAUAGUGGCUUUACCACUUCACACUUCCACCAACAGUGGUUAGGGUGUCCUUUUCACAACAUCCUCUCCAGCAUUUGUUGUUUGUUGACUUCUGUAUGAGGGCCACUCUAACUCAUUGUGGUUUUGAUUUGCAUUUCCCUGAUUGCUAGUGAUCCUGAACAUUUUUUCAUGUGUCUGUUGGCCAUUUGGAUUUCCUCUUUUGAAAAAUGCCUGUUAAAGUCCUCGGCCCAACUCUUAACUGGGUUGUUUUGUUACUGUGGAGUCUCUUGAUCUCUUUGUAGAUUCUGGUUAUUAAUCCUUUAUCAGUUGUGUAGUUUGCAAAUAAUUUUUCCUAUUCUGUCGGUUACCUCUUCACUCUGCUGUUUCUUUUGCUGUACAGAGACUUCUCGAUUCGAGGUAAUUCCAUUUGUUCAUUUUGGCUUUCACUACCUGUGCCUUUGGUGUCUUUUCCAGGAAUUUUUUGCCUGUACCAGUGUCUUAAAGGGUUUCCCCAAUGUUCUUGAUUAAUUUGAUGGUGUUGUGGCAUAGAUUUAGAUCUUUAAUCCAUGUUGAAUGGUAGAUCCAUACUUUUCACCAUCUACAAAAACCAACUCAAUAAAGAUCAAUGACCUAAAUUUAAGACCUGAGUCUAUGAAGUUGCUAGAAUAAAACAUAGGGGAAAUACUCCAAGACAGUGGUGUAGGCAAUGACUUCUUAGACAAGAUUCCCAAAGAACAAGUAUCAAAAGUAAAACUAAAUAAAUGUAACUAUAUGUAGAAGCUAAAAUUUUAAAAAGAAAGAUGUCUGUUUACAGAGGAACACAAAUGUAGGUAUGAUUAUUUUGGAGUCUGAGAUAUAGAAUGGCCUUAAAUCAAGCAAAUAGUCAAAAGUGGGAAAAGCACUGGAAUCCAAUUACAUAAAUGAAACUAGAGUUUACAAAAAUACAGAAAUAAUCUGGAUAAUUCUUGUGUCUGACAUUGUAACUUAGACUCCAACCAAGUGAAACAAAUAUUGAUGUAAGUGGAAAGAGAACUACAGUAUGACCUAGUAUGAACCUAAUAAUUAUGAAAGAACGUAAGAAGAAGUUGGAUCAUCCUGAAUUCCAAAGGUCAACACUGGACUUAAGCAAAAGAACCUUGUGGUAAGUGGGAUUAACACAGGAGUCUUACAUUCUAUAACCAAUUUGGGAGAUGCAAAGCAACAUAGAGGUAAUUGGAAUCAAGUAUGGAUUCUGAUGAUCUUUCAUGGAGUAGGUAGUAGGAAAAAGGACAUAGAGGUAAGUGUAUACAAUAAACUCUGGUCUCUUAUUAUCUAGCAUGGAAUUUUGAAAAAUAAUAAUAGAGGCAAACAUGAUAAAUUCUGGAGCCCAUUUACCUAUAACAAACUUGGGAUUUACAAGAGAAUAUAGAGGUAAAUGCAAUAAUUCGAGAGUGUGAAUUUAAAAGAACAAAGGAACAUAGUGGCUAGAGGGAUCAACCCUGGAGUCAAAAAUAAAAAAAAUCUAUUGUCAAAUUGGGAGAAGCAGAGUAUCAUAGAAGGAUGUGUGAUCAACUCUGGAUGGGAUGAUCUAUCUUGAACUAGGAAGAAGCAAAAGGAUAUGGAGGAAAGUUUAAUACACUCUGGAACUGAAAUAUAUUUCUGAGAAGCAAAGAAACAGAGAUUAAUGGAACAACCUCUGGAGUCUGAUUUUCUAGAAUUAACUUGGAAUUCACAUAAGAACACAUAUGUAAGUGUGAUAAUUUUAGAAUAUGACCUUCUAGCAUGUGCUGAAAAAAGUACAAAAAUGUUGAAGUUAGUGGAGUUGAUACUAUAGUCCAAUAAUUUACCAUGGAAUUUGGAGAAGCAAAACAACAAACAGGUAUCUGUAAUAAACUUUGGAUAGCAAUGGUUUAUCUUGGACUAUUGAAAUUUAAAGGGCUAUAAGGGUAGGUGGAAUGAAAUCUGUAGUACAUAUAUCUAGCAUAAAUUUGUGAUAAGCAAAGGAAAAUAGAAUGGAAUACACAUUGAAAAUCAGUUACCUACAAUAAUGAAUUUGUGAUUUACAGGUGAACUAAAAUAUGUUAGUUAAUUCUGAAAUCUGAAGAUCUACCAUGACCUUAAAUCAAACACAAAUAAUAAUAGAUGGGAUAAAUAUUGGAGCCCAGAUUCUAGAAUGUACUUCAGAUAUACAAGAAAACAAAGAAGUAGUAUAAUUCAGGAGUCCACAGAUCUACUGUAGAAUUAAAAACAAACAAGGCAACACUGACAUAAUUGGACAAGCACUGGAGUCUGAUGAACUAGAAUGAAUUUUUUAUUUAGAAAAGAACAUAUAAAUAUGUUAAAUCAUUCUGGAAUCCAAAUAUCUGCAUUACAAUUAAAUGAAGCAAAGGAACAUAGUGAUAAGGGGGUUGACUCUGGAUUCAUAUAUUCCAUCAUCAAUUUGGGAGACACAAAGCAUCAUAGAGGUAUUGGGAUCAAAUACAGUUUUCAGUGAUCUAGUAUGACUCUGGAGAAGCAAAAGAUAUAGAGGUGAGUGGAAUAAAUUCUGCACUCUGAUUAUCUAGCAUGGGCACUGCAGAAACAAAGAAACAUAGAUGUGUUAUAAACUCCAGAGUCUGUUUACCUAAAAUGAACUUAAGAUUUCCAAAAGAACAUGGAAGUAAAUGGCUUAAUUCUUGAUUCUGAUGUUCUGCUAUGGAUUUGAAACAAGGAGAAGAACAUAGAGGAAACUGUAAUUGACCCUGGACUCUGAACGUCUGCCAUCAAAUUGAGGGAAGCAAAACAACACAGUAGGAUGUGUGAUAAACUCUGGAUCCAAUGAUCUAUCUUGGACUAGGGGGAUAUAGAGCAUGGGCAUAAAACAAGAAAAGGAUUAUAGAAUAAAGUUCAAUCAUCUCUGGAGUACAAUAAUCUGCCAUUAAUUUGAGAGAAGGAAAGAAACACAGAGGUGUGUGUGUGAUGAACUCUGGAUUCCAAUGAUCUAGCAUAGAUUGGGAGAAGCAAAGUAAUCUGGAGGUAAGUAGGAUAAACUUGGGAGUCUUGAUUAUCUGGCUUGGUCUUGGGAGAAGAAAAAGAACAUAGAGGUAAGUGGAAUAAAUUCUGGAGUUUGAUUAUCUAGCAUGGAAAUGGGAGUAUCAAAGGAACAUAGAGCUAAGUGGGCUAACUCUGGAAUCUGAAGAUCUAACAGAUUUGUGCGAAGCAAAGGAACAUAGAGGUAAGUGGGAUAUACUCCAAAGUUUGGUUAUCUAAAAUCAAAUUGUGAUUUGCAAAAGAAAAUAUAAUUAUUUGGGAUAAACUCUGGAGUCCCAUUAUCUUUGAGGGACUUGCUACAGGCAAAGAAAUAUGAAUAAUCCUGGAGUCCAGUGAUCUAGCAUGGACUUGGGUGUAGCAAAGGAGAUAGAGGUCAGUAGAAUAAAUCUGGGGUCUGAUUAUCUGGCAUGCACAAAAGGGAAAUGAGGGAACUUUUAGUUAUAUUGGAAAACCUCUUAAAUCUGAUUAUCUAGCAUGUACUUGCAAGUAGCACAGAAACAUAGAGAUAAAUGGAAUUAAUUCUGGAGAUAUAUCAUCUAGGAUGGACUUGAAAGAAGCAAAGGAACACAGAUGUAGGUGAGUUAAACUCUAGAGUCUGAUUGCCUAAAAUGAACUUGCUAUUUACAAAGAACAUAGCUGUAUGCAGAAUAAAAUUGGAUUCUGAUUAUCUCUCAUGGACUUGGGUGAAGCCAAGCAACAUAGAGGUAAAUUACUUCAACUCUGCAAUCCAAUUGUGUGGCAUGCAUUUGGGUGAAAUUAAGGAACAGAGAUUAAUUGAGAUAUAGCAUGGAGUAUAAUUUUCUAACAUGCACUUGAUUGAACCAAAGGAACAUAGAUUCAAGACAUGAACUCUGGUGUCCAAUAAUCUAUUGCUGACUUUGUAGAAUCUAGCUACGUAGUAGUUAAUGGGAUAAUUCUGGAGUCUGAAGAUCUAGUAUGGACUUGAAAUAAGCAAAGGAACACAGAAGUAGGAAAAACUCUGGUGUCUACCAUUGACUUUGGAGAAUGUAGCCAUACAUAGAAACAAAUAGGAUGAACUUGGGGAUUUGCUAACUCUGAAGGAUUUUGUAGAAGAAAAGGGUAUAAAUGUAAGAGGAUAAACUUCAGAGUCAAUUGAUGUAGCAUGGACUGGAAAAAUGGAUAUAGAGUUAAGUAGAGACAAAUUAGCAUGGACUUGAGAGAAAAAAAGGAACAUACAGUUAAUUGGAAUGAACUCUGGAGUCUGAUCAUCUGCCACUGAGUUGGGACAAGUCACUCAGGUCAGUUAGACUCUCUGGACUUCAAUUAUAUAGAUUGGAAUUGAGAGAAGCAAAGCAACAUUUAGGCAUAUGGAAUAAAUUUUGGAGAUCUACUAUUUAGCACAUACUUGGGAAAAGCAAAGAAAUAUUAAAUUGGUUAAUAUAUCAAUGUGUAAAUUGGUUAAUUCUGGAGUAAGGUAUCUAGUGUGAACCUGGAAGAAGCAAAGCAGCAUUGUGGUGAAUGAGAUAAAUUUUGGAGUCUGAAUGUCUAGCAUGGACUUUGGAGAAGCAUAGAAUAUAGGCAUAAGCAGCACAUUUUUUUUUAUUUAUUUGACAGGUAGAGUUACAGACAGUGAGAGAGAGAGAGAGAGACAGAGAGAAAGGUCUUCCUUCUGUUGGUUCACUCCCCAAAUGGCCGCCAAGGCCGGCGCUGUGCCAGUCUGAAGCCAGGAUCCAUGUGCUUCUUCCUGGUCUCCCAUUCAGGUGCAGAGCCCCAAGCACUUGGGCCAUCCUCCACUGCCAUCCCGGGCAUCGCAGAGAACUGGACUGGAAGAGGAGCAGCUGGGACUAGAACCCGGUGCCCAUAUGGGAUGCUGAUGCCACAGGCUGAGGAUUAGCCUAGUGAGCCAUGGCGCCGGCCCUGCAACACAUAUUUUUGGAUCUGACUAUCUAGCAUAGACUUGGGAGGAGCAAAGAGGUAAGUGGGGUACACUCUUGAGUCCAGUUAUCUAUCAUGUACUUGGUUCAACCAAGGGAACAUAAAGGUAAAUCAGAUACAAAGGUAAAUAAUUUUGGAGUCUGAAUUUUAAUCAUGGAGUUGAAAAAUCAAAGGAACAUAGAGGUAUGUGGGAUAAACUCCAAGUUCAUAUAUGAAGCAUGCCAUUGGGAAAAGCAAAGGAACAUGGAGGUAAGUGUGAUAAAAUCCAAAGUCAGUUAAUCUAAUGAUGACUUGGAGAAGCAAGGGAAUGUAGAGGUAAGUUGGAUAAACACUAGAGUCUAAUUUUCUAGCAUGGUCUUGGUACAAGCAAAAGAAUAUGAAGGUAAAUGCGAAUAUCCCUGGGGUCUGAUGAACUAGCAAGUGUAUAUCAAAGGAUGUAGAGAUUACUGGGAUAAACUUGGGGCCUGAUUAUCUGCUUACACAGAGGAGAAACAAAGGAACUUCAGAUAUAUUAGAAAACAUCCUAAGUCUGAUUAUCUAGCAUGUACUUGCAAGUAGCAAUGGAAUAUAGAGGUGAGUGGAAUAGCCUAUGGAGUCUGAUAUUCCAGCAUGGGCUUGAGAAAAAGCAAAGGGACACAGAUGUAAGUUUCUGCAGACUUAUCAUCUAGCACUGACUUAUGACAAACAAGGGAGCAUAGAAGCAAAUUGUAUAAACUCUGAAAUCUGAUAGUUGAAAAUGGAAUUGGGAGAAGGAAGGAAACCUAGAAGCAAGUUAAACAAACUCUGAGGACUAUUUCUGUCAUGAACUUUAGAGAAAUAAAGCAACAUAGAGUGUUUACCAGGAAAUUAGACAAGAGUGAAGUGGUGUACAUCAAUGCAUAAUUUGCACUCUUAUGAGAAAUCAACAUUUGGAAUAUAGGAUGAUCCUGUAAGUGGGUUAAGUGGAUUAAACAGAUGUUUGAAGAAUAAAAGGAAUAUAAUCAUUGAAUUAAAUUCAUCUGGCAUGUAGUUAUUUCCUUUAAUAUAUUAAAGCAGGUCAGGACUGCUGAUGGGAAGUUAGACUUUUUUUGAAUCUAUAUUUUCUGAAGUACCAUUGGUGAAAUUGUUUAACGAAAAAUGUUCCUAUGCCAGAAUUCCAAUAUAAAAGUCCUUCUUGGAGCAUGUUUUCUCUGACUUUUAUAUAGUGAAUAGGGGGGUUGCAACCCUUUUGAGAGUUAUUUCCUAAGCAGUGGAUGCUCUCCAAAGGGGGUAGCCUCUAUGGUCACAAAUGUGCUAACUGACUGAACAAGUCUACUCACAAAAUCAAAAAUUUCCCUCUCACUUUCUAACAAUCAGGACUCAAAGAACAACACCACUGCUAACUGCUGGUUCUAUAAGUGAAUCAGCCUGUAUGCCACUCUAGUCAACUCAGCUAUCCCCAAAAGGAAGUUUGCUGGGUCGAUGAAAUGUUUGAUCUAGCAGUCUACUUAGCUUUCACCAGGAUUCUGAAAGAAUCUGCUUUACUUCAGUUUAUUUUCCUCACCCACAUAAAUUCAGCCCAUUUUACUUUAGUGAGAAAAAACAGAGUCCUUAUUAUAGUCCUUUAAAAAUUUGAAUUAUAUCUGUAUAAUAAGGUAAACAAUGUUUUGAGAUUAUGCUUUGACUCUUUUUUUUUUUUUUUUGUCCUUUUCCAAUUCCCAGAGAGGCCUAAACAAUUAUUUGUGCAUUGGAGAGGUCUGAUGAAUAAUUUUGUUUUGGAUCUUGUAUACAAUGCAUGACUCUGGUUGUCAUCUGUCUCUUCUUUUUUUUAUAAAAAAUAUUUUACUUACUUGAGAGGGAAACAGAGAGGGAGGAGGAGGGAGAGAGAGAGGGAAAUAGAGAGGGAGAGGUAGAAAUUUCCUACACACUGGUUUACUCCUCAAAUGCUCACAACAGUUGGGAACUCAAUCUGGGUCUUUUACGUGGGUGGGGACAAAAUUCCUCUAGCCAUUAGCUGCUUCCUACUCAGGUUGCAUAUUUGCAAGAAGCUUAAAUCAGGAGCAGAACUGGGACUGGAACUCAGGUAUUCCAAAAUGGAAUAUGGGCAUCCCAGGCAGCAUUUUAACCAUUGGGCCAAAUUCCCACCCCUCUGAAUCCUCUUGAGAAUAGACUGCAGUAUUUCAAUUUCUUGAAAAGACUCUGGAAAUCAUACCCUAAUGGAGAGAUAUAUAGAAGAGAAAUUAAGUUUUUGUUGUUGGAUUUUGAAUUUAGAACAAAAAUAUUUGAAACAAUUAUUGUGUCAACCAUCUAUCAGAUACUCUGCUCUAUGUGAAGAUAAAAAGAUGAAUAAAAUUCUAACUUCCCUCAAGGAUUUUAAAGAUUUGCAGGAAAAUCAGACAAAUAGAACAAUAACACCACAAUGAGAUAAGAAUACUGGCAUAUGGAGCUGGUGUAGUGGCCCAGUAGAUUGAGCUGCUGCUUAUAAUGUCAGCAUCCCAUAUUGGAGUGUUGGUUUGAAUUCUGGGUACUCCCCUUCUAAUCCAGUUUCCUACGAAUGCAUGUAGGGUGUAGCAAAUGAUAACUCAAGUACUUGGCUUCCUGCUACAUAGCUGGGAGACCUGGUUGAAGUUCUUGGCUCCUGGCUUCAGUCUGGCCAAUCUUGGCUGUUGCAGGUAUUUGGGGAGUGAACCAGAGAACAGAAGCUCGCUUUCUCUAGCUCUCACUCUGUUAUUCUGUUUUUACAAUGAAUAAAUAAUUAAAAAAUUCUACUGAGAAAUUCCUAUACCUUUCAUUAUAGGAGCACACAUAGACCUAUAGAAAAGUAGUAUCUUGUUGAAUUGUUCAACAUGAUUUUUUAUUCUAUCACUCAGUUGUAUUUGCUUAAUUAUGGAAUAUUUUUCUCUGUAUGAAAAUUUUUUUUUCUUGUUACUGGGGAUGUGCAAAUUAAGCUUAAAUUAGAAGAAUAAAAAAUAGGUGAUGAGAAUAGUAAUAUGGAUUAGAUUAGCUAAGAAAGUGAUAAUCUUUCCAAAUCUGAAAUUCAAGGAUUUGUUUGAAAUUUUACUUAUUUAUUUAUUUAUUUACUUUUAAUUUGAAAGACAAGGAGAGAAGGAGAAAGAGAGAGAGAAAGAGAGAGAGAGAACCAAGAACCAGAGAACAGAGAGAGAGGACUGCCAUCUUCCAUCCACUGGUUCACUCUUUACUCCCUAAAUACCCACAAUAGCCCUCCAAAGCCAGAAGCCUGAACUCCAUCCAUCUGGGUCUCCCACGGGACUGGCAGAGACCCAAGUACUUGAGCCAUCACCUUUUGUCUCAUAGGGUGCACAUUAGCAGGAAAUCAGAUCAGAUCUAAGAAGCCAGGACUCAACCUAGGCACUCUGGUAUGGGAUGCAGGCAUCCCAAGAGGGAUUUAAACACUGCUCCAAAUGCCUGCUUUGAAAUUCCAUAUCCAGUGUAGGACUAAAGUUUAUAUAGUAAAUUUGCAUCUAAACUCACUGAGAUCCCUUUAUGAGACUGAAUUCCUCAUUGCCUGAUGCCCGCAGUUUACCAGACCCUUCCCCAUCGCCAAGUUGCAGUUGUGGUGAUCCUCACUGUACAGGGUACUGAGAUCUAGACCACUCAACUCCUGUUUUCUUACCUCUGAUUCCAUUUCUAAAAAGGUCAGUGACUCAAAUUCUGUCACAACUACAGUCUUUAGAGACAUCUUUCAUUGCCAACUUCAAAAUGAUGCAGCAACAUGUUAAUAAGAGAAAAUACUUCCGUAUCCUGUAUUCAGGCUUUUAAAUCCACUCUAUCUGAUUUGCAUCUAAAAACAUUAGGAACUUUCCAUACUAGUUUCACAAUUCAGGCCAGGUAACUAGAUGUUUUAUUUUUCUCAAGUACAGGAUACUGCUUUGAUACAAAAGUUUGUAACAUAAUACAGCAGUGACAUAUGUGGGCAGAAGGGGCUCAUAGACAGGUCUUUUAAAUUGUUUCCUGUGGUGUCUAACAAGGUACAGUUUUUUUCCUUGUAUCUUCUCCAAAGAUGCUUGAUGAUUUCAACUCAGGUUGACAAGAGAGAUACACAAAUCUAGAUCUUUGUUCCUUAGAUUCUUAAAAUAGACCCAAGAUAUAAUAGAAUGAGAAAGGGCAUGACAAUAGCAGUUUUUGUGGAGGAAGUUUUUGGGAGGAUGUUCAAUGUCCGAAUUCAUUCCUUCAUCAAACAUUGACCAAGAAAGCUCUAUGUGUCAUGCUCUGUAUUAAAUCCUGGCCAAUGGAAGGAAAAUAGUACAUGGUUCCUGGUGCCUAAAAGUUUUAAGUCUAAAGUUGACAUAGAUUUUUUUUCCCUAUAUCCUGGGUCCUGAAGAGACUUGGGGUGGUAAAUUUCAAUGUCAAGUGAAGUUAGAUAUAAAGUUUUAAGAUACAACACAGGAUUGAGAGUGAAAAAUUAGUGCAGUAAAGCCAAAGUAUUAUUUCAGAAGCAAUAUAUAGCUAUGUUAAUAAAAGCAAUGCUCAUCUUUACAAAGAGAUGAGAAUUCUUUUUGUAGAAUCACUUUAUGGGCUGGCGCCGCAGCUCAAUAGGCUAAUCCUCCACCUAGCUGCGCCGGCACACCAGGUUCUAGUCCUGGGCGGGGCGCCGGAUUCUGUCCUGGUUGCCCCCCCCCUUCCAGGUCAGCUCUCUGCUAUGGCCCGGGAGUGCAGUGGAGGAUGGCUCAAGUGCUUGGGCCCUGCACUCCAUGGGAGACCAGGAGAAGCACCUGGCUCCUGCCUUCGGAUCAGCGCGAUGCGCCUGCCGCGGUGGCCAUUGGUGGGUGAACCAAUGGCAAAAGGAAGACCUUUCUUUCUGUCUCACUCUCUCACUGUCCACUCUGCCUGUCAAAAAAAAAAAUCACUUUAUGGAGGAGCUAUCAGAGACAAAAAAAUCCUUGGGUAGAACUAGCUGCUUUUAGAAACUCUGUAGAAGUAAUAGAAAUAUUCCAUAAUGGAUUUCCCUGGCCAUUUUAUAUCCUCCCUCCAUCAGCAGGGUCAGAGCUCACUCCUUACUUCCUUUCCCUCCAACCCUUACUGCUAGACGUGAUAAAUCAGAGCCAGACUUUUUGCAGAGUAGCAAACACUAGGCGAAGGAGUGCGCAUUGGCAUUCUACAACUAAGAACGCAACACUUUAUAACUCAACAGUCAAAGGAUACCUGAUUAUUUCUGCUGGAAUGUUUAAUAGAGAUAGUGACAGAGAAUGAAGAGGGAUAUAUGGAUCAGAGGUAGGCUUACAUGUGGUAAUUAGGAGGGGAA
This is a non-coding RNA of Oryctolagus cuniculus (rabbit), 18474 nucleotides long. Lineage: Eukaryota; Metazoa; Chordata; Mammalia; Lagomorpha; Leporidae. The record is from RefSeq and is a predicted model, not a curated record.